CCUGAUGGAGGGGGAUAACUACUGGAAACGGUAGCUAAUACCGCAUAACGUCGCAAGACCAAAGAGGGGGACCUUCGGGCCUCUUGCCAUCGGAUGUGCCCAGAUGGGAUUAGCUAGUAGGUGGGGUAACGGCUCACCUAGGCGACGAUCCCUAGCUGGUCUGAGAGGAUGACCAGCCACACUGGAACUGAGACACGGUCCAGACUCCUACGGGAGGCAGCAGUGGGGAAUAUUGCACAAUGGGCGCAAGCCUGAUGCAGCCAUGCCGCGUGUAUGAAGAAGGCCUUCGGGUUGUAAAGUACUUUCAGCGGGGAGGAAGGGAGUAAAGUUAAUACCUUUGCUCAUUGACGUUACCCGCAGAAGAAGCACCGGCUAACUCCGUGCCAGCAGCCGCGGUAAUACGGAGGGUGCAAGCGUUAAUCGGAAUUACUGGGCGUAAAGCGCACGCAGGCGGUUUGUUAAGUCAGAUGUGAAA
Molecule: ribosomal RNA, 475 nt
Filed under: Escherichia coli
Lineage: Bacteria; Pseudomonadati; Pseudomonadota; Gammaproteobacteria; Enterobacterales; Enterobacteriaceae
Description: bacterial SSU rRNA
Rfam family: Bacterial small subunit ribosomal RNA
Source: RNAcentral